RNAcentral lists this ribosomal RNA (478 nucleotides) under uncultured bacterium. Its description in RNAcentral is "partial 16S ribosomal RNA". It matches the Rfam family "Bacterial small subunit ribosomal RNA", at positions 28 to 523 of the family's 1533-position model. The record is from RNAcentral.
GACGAACGCUGGCGGCGUGCUUAACACAUGCAAGUCGAACGGUAAGGCCCUUCGGGGUACACGAGUGGCGAACGGGUGAGUAACACGUGGGUGAUCUGCCCUGCACUUCGGGAUAAGCCUGGGAAACUGGGUCUAAUACCGGAUAGGACUCCUGCCUGCAUGGGUGGGGGUGGAAAGCUUUUGUGGUGUGGGAUGGGCCCGCGGCCUAUCAGCUUGUUGGUGGGGUGAUGGCCUACCAAGGCGACGACGGGUAGCCGGCCUGAGAGGGUGACCGGCCACACUGGGACGGAGACACGGCCCAGACUCCUACGGGAGGCAGCAGUGGGGAAUAUUGCACAAUGGGCGCAAGCCUGAUUCAGCAACGCCGCGUGAGGGACGACGGCCUUCGGGUUGUAAACCUCUUUUAGCAGGGAAGAAGCGAAAGUGACGGUACCUGCAGAAAAAGCACCGGCUAACUACGUGCCAGCCGCCGCGGUAA